RNAcentral lists this long non-coding RNA (411 nucleotides) under Camarhynchus parvulus. RNAcentral describes it as "lncRNA (ENSCPVG00000012205.2)". Lineage: Eukaryota; Metazoa; Chordata; Aves; Passeriformes; Thraupidae. The record is from RNAcentral.
AUGCAAGUCCUUCCAUUGGUAUGGAGGCUUUUCAUUUCUAUGAUGAGAAGCCUCUGGAAAGUCCCCACAAAGCUGAGGACAGACAGACUCCACCUCAUCAGCAGCUUUGGGCUGCGUUGCUUCACUGAUGCUGGAUUUGGGAUAUCAUCUCAGAGCCUGAUGCUUCCAGGUUCAUUGAGGUAUGCAAGCAGAAUCCCUGACAUUGGACAUUGCCAAUGAGCUGGAGUACACAGACUUUUAAAACAAAGUAAAAUAAUAUUCUAAGUCAUGUAAGGCUUCAUUUGUUAUGGUCCCAAUCCAAAUCUGCUUCAUCUGAAUUAGUUUCUUUUGGAAAAUUACUCUUCAUGAUAGAUGAUUUACCUGUUACAUACCUGAAGUCUGACAACCAUCUAAAGGCUCACAUGACCUAGG